AUCCUAGCCGAAGCGCGGACCUCAGUCCCGGCUGGCCGUAUUACACCCUGGGCUAUAACACCUCCACCGAAGUGGAGGCCACAUUCCCAGAGCCUUUAUCCGGCCGCCGAAACUGAUGCUGGCCUGUCCAAACUGAGUAAACCGGUCAGAAGACCGGCCGAACAGUUUAAACAAGUCUGAUUGCAAGCGCUUCCCUUUCAACAAUUUCACGUGCUUUUUAACUCUCUUUCCAAAGUGCUUUUCAUCUUUCGAUCACUCUACUUGUGCGCUAUCGGUCUCUCGCCAAUAUUUAGCUUUAGAAGAAAUUUACCUCCCAUUUAGAGCUGCAUUCCCAAACAACUCGACUCGUCGAAGGAGAUUUACAUAGGGUGCCAUUUCCUGUCACAUACGGGAUUCUCACCCUCUAUGACGUCCUGUUCCAAGGAACUUAGACAGGCGGCUUCCCCAAAUCAUCCUCUACAAAUUACAAUGCGAACCCGAAGGCUAGCUUUCAAAUUUGAGCUGUUGCCGCUUCACUCGCCGUUACUAGGGC
RNAcentral lists this ribosomal RNA (532 nucleotides) under Aureobasidium proteae. RNAcentral describes it as "partial 26S ribosomal RNA". The record is from RNAcentral. Lineage: Eukaryota; Fungi; Ascomycota; Dothideomycetes; Dothideales; Saccotheciaceae.